UCCGGUUUGUCACCGGCAGUCACCUUAGAGUGCCCAACUGAAUGCUGGCAACUAAGAUCAAGGGUUGCGCUCGUUGCGGGACUUAACCCAACAUCUCACGACACGAGCUGACGACAACCAUGCACCACCUGUGCGGGCUCCGUGGAGCGCCGGCUUUCACCGGCUUUGCCCUGCAUGUCAAACCCAGGUAAGGUUCUUCGCGUUGCCUCGAAUUAAACCACACGCUCCGCUGCUUGUGCGGGCCCCCGCCUAUUCCUUUGAGUUUUAACCUUGCGGCCGUAGUCCCCAGGCGGUGAACUUAAUGCGUUAGCUGCGGCACUGAUCGGGUCAAUCCGAACAACACCUAGUUCACAACGUUUAGGGCGUGGACUAC
Molecule: unclassified non-coding RNA, 373 nt
Filed under: uncultured bacterium
Lineage: Bacteria
Description: contains 16S-23S intergenic spacer region
Source: RNAcentral